UUCAGAAUGGUGCCCUGACCGCUUAUUUGGUUGCCUUGUCUGUAUAUUUUCCCUCCACCCUCUCAUUCGCUUGAACCUUUCCAUCCUGGUACGAAGUUUGACCUUCCCACGCGAGCCGGGAUGGCUUGGGGGCACGCAUGGGUGCAAUGCUUAUGUGUUAGAGCAACUCUAAAAGUACCCUAAAAAAUUCUUCCCUAAAACUAUAUAUUGGAGGUUCUCCUAAAAAAAUUUCCCUCAAAAUCAUAUCAAUCCAUAGCAAAUCGCUAAUAAAUUGCUCCAAAUAUUUCAAAACAGACCACGUCAUCGUAUUAGACCAUCAGAAGGGACGCGCGGGCGUGCGGGAAUCAGAAUUGGGGGAGGAACACCAUCGCUAAAAUAUACACGGUGGCAGGCUAUUUUUUAGCGUAAUAAAAAAUUAGGAAAAGUUUAGGUGAUCUGUUGGAGUUUGUUUUUUCUCUUUUUCUCUAAAAAAAGAUAUUAGAGGGAUUGACCAGCACUGGGACUGUGUGGACGCGGACCACCGGUAGGUGGAGCCACGGCUGGACGGCUGGACGACAUGGCCGCGGAUCCGCGGUCGGACGACGCAACGGGGCGGACCGGCAGCUGGACGGCGCAGACUAGCGACGCGAGGUAGCAGCAGGGCGACGCGAGGUAGUAGCGCCGGAGCCGCAGGGCGCCGAGCUGAGCAGCAGCGCGACGCGAGGCAGGCUUGGAUCGGCAGCAGAGUAACGAGAGAAUGAGAGAACGAAAGAGAGCAUCGAGAGAACGAGAGAGAGAGCAGACCAAGAGAAGAUAAGGAUCAGGGAGAAGAUAGGGUAGAAAAAGGUACGAGAGAGAAAAUGAAAAAAAUAAAGAAUAAGAAAAAAAGAAAUGGAAAAUAAGGCCCUGUUUGGGAAGGGCGUGUUAAAAUUUAACAGGGUGUUAAACUUUAACACCCUCAAAUAAAGGUGUUAAACUUUAGUAUCUUGAGGUGUUUGGAUGAUCUGUUAAAAUUUAACACCUUAGGUUGUAA
This 1012-nucleotide long non-coding RNA is filed under the name Setaria italica (foxtail millet). RNAcentral's name for it is "long non-coding RNA (SITA_LNC007540)". The record is from RNAcentral. Lineage: Eukaryota; Viridiplantae; Streptophyta; Magnoliopsida; Poales; Poaceae.